AUUUAAACAAUAAAUACUUUAAUAAAUAGUAACAAAUUCUCUCAUGAAUUAAUUAAUUAAAUAAAUAAAUAAAAUUUAUAUUUAAAAAAGGGUAUUUCACCAUACAGAAACAAUUUUUGUGGGAAAAAUGGAAUCAAGGACAAUUUUAUCAGAAAAAUAUACACAGUAAUAAUAAUAAAAUGGUCAGAUGGAUGAUCUUUGUUUUGUCUGUGUAGGGAUUUUUGCAACUGUGCAGGCAUGUGUGUUUUGUGGAGGUUUUGCUGGAGACCCAGGAGCUGUCGAGUGUGAUCAUCUCUCUCACUCUACUGUGGGAUCAGUGCAGCUCUUCAUGGAGACAGCAGGCGUCUCGAGUCCUCAGAUCAGUGUCUGCGGCACAAGCUCACAACACUGUAUCUGCACUGCAAGCUAGCAACUGCAUGAAGAUCUGCAUCCAGAACAUGCAUAAGAUCAGCGAAGACGUCCCUGCUCAUGUUCUCGCUGAGGUGGCUGUGAGUGUUUUCAGCUUCGUGAAGGACUCCUAUGCUAUCAACCCUGCUCUUUUUGAGGAGUUUGAGAACAACGAUGGCUACGACAUCUUACAGACCAUCAUAUUACGCUGUGAGGAGGAAGUGACAGCGGAGCACUAUCUGGCUGUUCAAGACCUUCUGGGCCUCAUCGGGUCAUUCACACUUUUUGGCAAGACAGAAUUAAAGGUGGCCAUAUGUGUGAGCAACCCCCAACCCUCGAACUUCAGGUUCGACCCCACCCUGACUACCGGUUCAACAGUGAAGAACCUCACAGCUUUUAAAAUCAUCCAAUCCUCAUUUAUGCGCUCAAGCAACACUGUGAUCUGCAGCCAAAUCCUGCGGACCAUCCAGAUGAUCUGGUCUUGGGAAAAGGCAAACUUUUUCCUGUUGGAGUGGACUCUGCAGUCUCUGGCUCAGCUGGCAGAGUGUGUGUGGCAAAAAUCGCCACCCGUUCACCUUAUUUUCUUCGAACUGCUUGAGACGGUGAUUUUCCAGCUUUCCUACAUCCCACACGAGACCCUCAAGAAGGUCCAAGCUAUGGUUAAACAAGGCUCCUCGGGGAUAUUCAAUGUCGCAGCUCUGGAUUGCUUCUAUAGACUCAUUAUGAACAGUGGAUUGCUGUCUGAGGUGCUGAGUGAUGGAGGACUGAUGGAGCAACUGCUGUUUGAGCUUAAAAGAAGGGCCAAGAUAAUCCGAAAGGCUGGUGUUGCUGGUGAGUUUUCAGAUUUACUCUGUUUUAUAAAUUACAAAAACAAGACAGUUUGAAAUCUAGUAGCAUCAUCCUGAUUUUUUGAAAUCUUAUUUACUAACAGUAAAUGAGGACGAAGAGAAGGCUGAUGACUAUCAGAAGAUGUUGACAACCAACAUUUUGAACGUGGUUGCAGCCCUGGCCUUGCAGUCAGUCAGAAACACUGGUUGGUGGAAUAAUUUGUUUUGUAGCAUAUUCUCUUUGCUGGUAUUAAAGAGAUAGUUUAACUACAAAUGAAAGUUUUUCUUGUUCUAAACCAUUAAAUGCCAUAAUAUUAGUUUUUUCCACCAUAGAAGUCAGUGGUUACAGAUUUCUAACAUUCUUCAAAAUAUCUUUUUUUGUAUUCAAUAGGACAAAAAAAUUUAAAUUUGUAUGGAACAAGCAAAGGGGAAGUAAACGAUGACUGAAUUUUU
This is a long non-coding RNA of Danio rerio (zebrafish), 1667 nucleotides long. NCBI's taxonomy places the organism in Eukaryota, Metazoa, Chordata, Actinopteri, Cypriniformes, Danionidae. The record is from Ensembl.